CCUACGGGAGGCAGCAGUGGGGAAUAUUGGACAAUGGGCGAAAGCCUGAUCCAGCAAUGCCGCGUGAGUGAUGAAGGCCUUAGGGUUGUAAAGCUCUUUUACCAGGGAUGAUAAUGACAGUACCUGGAGAAUAAGCUCCGGCUAACUCCGUGCCAGCAGCCGCGGUAAUACGGAGGGAGCUAGCGUUGUUCGGAAUUACUGGGCGUAAAGCGUACGUAGGCGGUUAUUCAAGUCAGAGGUGAAAGCCCGGGGCUCAACCCCGGAACGGCCUUUGAAACUAGAUGGCUAGAAUCUUGGAGAGGUCAGUGGAAUUCCGAGUGUAGAGGUGAAAUUCGUAGAUAUUCGGAAGAACACCAGUGGCGAAGGCGACUGACUGGACAAGUAUUGACGCUGAGGUACGAAAGCGUGGGGAGCAAACAGGAUUAGAUACCCUGGUAGUCCACGCCGUAAACGAUGAUAACUAGCUGUUCGGGCACUUGGUGCCUGAGUGGCGCAGCUAACGCAUUAAGUUAUCCGCCUGGGGAGUACGGUCGCAAGAUUAAAACUUAAAGGAAUUGACGG
This 561-nucleotide ribosomal RNA is filed under the name uncultured bacterium. Its description in RNAcentral is "bacterial SSU rRNA". It matches the Rfam family "Bacterial small subunit ribosomal RNA", at positions 338 to 916 of the family's 1533-position model. The record is from RNAcentral.